AGGGCAGCGACCUGGCCGGGAAGAGGGAGAGCUGGGCAGCCUUGGAGCAGCUCCACAGGAUGGGAAAGGGUGAAAUGGCCCUGAGGAGAGGCUGGCUGGGCUGGUGUCACCGCCAAGGUGACCUGGGGACAAGGCAGGGUGUUUACAAGGCUUGCAGUGCCCUGGCCCCGGGCGGCAGGAGGGGGAAGCUGCCCGUGCCCCUGGCAGGGGAGAUUCUGCAAGGACAAGCCUCUUAAAUCAAACCUAACCCGGCUGCGGGGCGAGCUGCCGAGGGAAAUCCGGAGCUGCUCGGGGCAAGAGUUAAAACGUGUUAAGCACCGAGAUCCAGGCCAGAUGUGGAACUCUCCGGGGCCACCACGGGGCUUUGAGCCGCUUGUUUGACACCUCUGCUUUCGACAUUAAAAGUCCCAGCGGGGAGGAAAUCCUCCUGGCCUGAGUUAUGUGCUAUUUACCGAGGGGGGCAGCCCUUGAAAGGAGUCCCAGUAAAACCUGGAAUAAGAUGCUGGAUGAAGAUAAAAAUCCUCCUGCCUCUGAGGGAUAAGGGAAGGCUGGAAGUGUGUGAGAGCUCCAGGCUCCGUUUGGAAAAGCACUCACAGGCAAUAAACCCCUGCUCUUCCUGCUCAAUUGCUGGCAUGGGAUAGCAGAGGCUUCUCCCCGCCCCGAGUCAGAUGUGGGGAGGAAAAAUCAGGAAUUACUGGCUGGAUGCUGCAAGUCCCCAUCAGGAAUCUCCCCCUCUCUCUGCUCCUCUCCGUUCCCAGGUUUUCCUGUGGUUCAGGGAAGUGCUGGAAUCCCUGGAAACGUCCAAAAAAUGUGUGAAUGCAGCACUUGGGGACCUGGCUUCACGGGUAGCACGGUUAAAGCAUGCACUGUGACAUUCCAGAGGCUGCAGAGCUCUGCUGCCAGCUGCUGCUGCUGAUGUGCAGCCCCAGGGACGCAGCCCAGGUGUGGGACAGGAUUGACUCUGCCUCUCCAAAACCACUGAAAUUCCCCAGCAGGACAGGCUGGGAAUAUCCUGGAGCAGCCCAGCCCUGCAGAGAGCAGCUGACAUUUCCACCAGGCUGAAAGCAAGGAGGAUUUCUGGAGGAAAGGGGGUAAAUUUGGGUCAGUGGUGCUGGUUGCUGGGAGCAGGGCAGGAAGUGGCUGUGUUUACAGGGCUGGAGUUGUUUUUUCCUGUGGCACACACACAGAAUGCUCUCGGAGCCUGGAAAUGGUUUUUAUGGGAGACAGCAAUUAUCCUGCAGGGUGAAUAAAAAAAAAUAAAUAUUUGUGUGGGAAAUGAAUUUGUAGAUUAAAAAAUAGCCGGCUUCUGAUUGUAACAGCGUGAAUUAUAACUUCUGUAUCGUCACACGAGACUGAAAAUGGAAUAAAAGUUUUUAA
Pyrgilauda ruficollis (rufous-necked snowfinch) is the source of this 1377-nucleotide long non-coding RNA. RefSeq lists it as uncharacterized. The record is from RefSeq and is a predicted model, not a curated record. NCBI's taxonomy places the organism in Eukaryota, Metazoa, Chordata, Aves, Passeriformes, Passeridae. The transcript has 4 exons.